AGGACGAACGCUGGCGGCGUGCUUAACACAUGCAAGUCGAACGGUGAAAGAGGAGCUUGCUCCUCUCGAUCAGUGGCGAACGGGUGAGUAACACGUGAGUAACCUGCCCUUGACUCUGGGAUAAGCGUUGGAAACGACGUCUAAUACCGGAUACGACCUUCGGAGGCAUCUCCAGGAGGUGGAAAGAAUUUUGGUCAAGGAUGGACUCGCGGCCUAUCAGCUAGUUGGUGAGGUAACGGCCCACCAAGGCGACGACGGGUAGCCGGCCUGAGAGGGUGACCGGCCACACUGGGACUGAGACACGGCCCAGACUCCUACGGGAGGCAGCAGUGGGGAAUAUUGCACAAUGGGCGAAAGCCUGAUGCAGCAACGCCGCGUGAGGGACGACGGCCUUCGGGUUGUAAACCUCUUUAGUAGGGAAGAAGCGAAAGUGACGGUACCUGCAGAAAAGCACCGGCUAACUACGUGCCAGCAGCCGCGGUAA
Molecule: ribosomal RNA, 484 nt
Filed under: uncultured bacterium
Lineage: Bacteria
Description: SSU rRNA
Rfam family: Bacterial small subunit ribosomal RNA
Source: RNAcentral